RNAcentral lists this ribosomal RNA (536 nucleotides) under uncultured bacterium. RNAcentral's name for it is "partial 16S ribosomal RNA". It matches the Rfam family "Bacterial small subunit ribosomal RNA", at positions 355 to 881 of the family's 1533-position model. The record is from RNAcentral.
UGGGGAAUUUUGGACAAUGGGCGAAAGCCUGAUCCAGCAAUGCCGCGUGUGUGAAGAAGGCCUUCGGGUUGUAAAGCACUUUUGUCCGGAAAGAAAUCCUUGGCUCUAAUACAGUCGGGGGAUGACGGUACCGGAAGAAUAAGCACCGGCUAACUACGUGCCAGCAGCCGCGGUAAUACGUAGGGUGCAAGCGUUAAUCGGAAUUACUGGGCGUAAAGCGUGCGCAGGCGGUUUGCUAAGACCGAUGUGAAAUCCCCGGGCUCAACCUGGGAACUGCAUUGGUGACUGGCAGGCUAGAGUAUGGCAGAGGGGGGUAGAAUUCCACGUGUAGCAGUGAAAUGCGUAGAGAUGUGGAGGAAUACCGAUGGCGAAGGCAGCCCCCUGGGCCAAAUACUGACGCUCAUGCACGAAAAGCGUGGGGGAGCAAACAGGAUUAGAUACCCUGGUAGUCCACGCCCUAAAACGAUGUCAACUAGUUGUUGGGGAUUCAUUCCUUAGUAACGUAGCUAACGCGUGAAGUUGACCGCCUGGGGAGU